CCUACGGGAGGCUGCAGUGGGGAAUAUUGGACAAUGGGCGAAAGCCUGAUCCAGCCAUGCCGCGUGUGUGAAGAAGGCCUUCGGGUUGUAAAGCACUUUCAGUGGGGAAGAAAGCCUUGGGGCUAAUACCCUCGAGGAAGGACAUCACCCACAGAAGAAGCACCGGCUAACUCCGUGCCAGCAGCCGCGGUAAUACGGAGGGUGCGAGCGUUAAUCGGAAUUACUGGGCGUAAAGCGCGCGUAGGCGGUCUGAUAAGCCGGUUGUGAAAGCCCCGGGCUCAACCUGGGAACGGCAUCCGGAACUGUCAGGCUAGAGUGCAGGAGAGGAAGGUAGAAUUCCCGGUGUAGCGGUGAAAUGUGUAGAGAUCGGGAGGAAUACCAGUGGCGAAGGCGGCCUUCUGGACUGACACUGACGCUGAGGUGCGAAAGCGUGGGUAGCAAACAGGAUUAGAUACCCUUGUAGUC
This 465-nucleotide ribosomal RNA is filed under the name Vreelandella stevensii. Its description in RNAcentral is "partial 16S ribosomal RNA". It matches the Rfam family "Bacterial small subunit ribosomal RNA", at positions 338 to 795 of the family's 1533-position model. The record is from RNAcentral. Lineage: Bacteria; Pseudomonadati; Pseudomonadota; Gammaproteobacteria; Oceanospirillales; Halomonadaceae.